UGCGUAGGGUGCAAGCGUUGUCCGGAAUUAUUGGGCGUAAAGAGCUUGUAGGCGGUUUGUCGCGUCUGCUGUGAAAUUUCGGGGCUCAACCCCGAACUUGCAGUGGGUACGGGCAGACUAGAGUGUGGUAGGGGAGACUGGAAUUCCUGGUGUAGCGGUGAAAUGCGCAGAUAUCAGGAGGAACACCGAUGGCGAAGGCAGGUCUCUGGGCCAUAACUGACGCUGAGAAGCGAAAGCAUGGGGAGCGAACAGG
This 253-nucleotide ribosomal RNA is filed under the name uncultured bacterium. RNAcentral's name for it is "partial 16S ribosomal RNA". It matches the Rfam family "Bacterial small subunit ribosomal RNA", at positions 524 to 776 of the family's 1533-position model. The record is from RNAcentral.